CCUACGGGAGGCAGCAGUGAGGAAUAUUGCUCAAUGGACGAAAGUCUGAAGCAGCGACGCCGCGUGAGGGAUGAAGUCCGUUUGGAUGUAAACCUCUUUUGCAGAAGAAGAAUGUUUCGAUUUCUCGAAAUUGACGGUAUUUUGCGAAUAAGCACCGGCUAACUACGUGCCAGCAGCCGCGGUAAUACGUAGGGUGCGAGCGUUGUCCGGAAUUACUGGGUGUAAAGGGUCCGCAGGCGGGCGAGUAAGUCUGUGGUGAAAUCUUACGGCUUAACCGUAAAUUGCCACGGAAACUGCUUGCCUUGAGUGUGAAAGAGGAAGAUGGAAUUCAUGGUGUAGCAGUGAAAUGCGUAGAUAUCAUGAAGAACACCGGUAGCGAAGGCGAUCUCUGGUUCACAACUGACGCUCAGGGACGAAAGCGUGGGGAGCAAACAGGAUUAGAUACCCUGGUAGUCCACGACC
RNAcentral lists this ribosomal RNA (462 nucleotides) under uncultured bacterium. RNAcentral describes it as "bacterial SSU rRNA". It matches the Rfam family "Bacterial small subunit ribosomal RNA", at positions 338 to 802 of the family's 1533-position model. The record is from RNAcentral.